Molecule: ribosomal RNA, 422 nt
Filed under: uncultured bacterium
Lineage: Bacteria
Description: bacterial SSU rRNA
Rfam family: Bacterial small subunit ribosomal RNA
Source: RNAcentral
UGAGGAAUAUUGGUCAAUGGGGGCAACCCUGAACCAGCCAAGUCGCGUGAAGGAUGAAGGUCUUAUGGAUUGUAAACUUCUUUUACACGGGAAUAAAGUGGGGGACGUGUCCCCCUUUGCAUGUACCGUGUGAAUAAGGAUCGGCUAACUCCGUGCCAGCAGCCGCGGUAAUACGGAGGAUCCGAGCGUUAUCCGGAUUUAUUGGGUUUAAAGGGUGCGCAGGCGGGAUGUUAAGUCGGCGGUGAAAUUUUGCAGCUCAACUGUAAAAGUGCCUUCGAUACUGGCCUCCUUGAGUGUGGAUGAAGUAGUCGGAAUUUGUGGUGUAGCGGUGAAAUGCUUAGAUAUCACGAGGAACUCCGAUUGCGCAGGCAGCUUACUAAGCCACAACUGACGCUCAUGCACGAAGGCGUGGGGAUCAAACA